This 497-nucleotide ribosomal RNA is filed under the name uncultured bacterium. RNAcentral describes it as "partial 16S ribosomal RNA". It matches the Rfam family "Bacterial small subunit ribosomal RNA", at positions 28 to 507 of the family's 1533-position model. The record is from RNAcentral.
GAUGAACGCUGGCGGCGUGCCUAAUACAUGCAAGUCGAGCGAACAGACGAGGAGCUUGCUCCUCUGACGUUAGCGGCGCACGGGUGAGUAACACGUGGAUAACCUACCUAUAAGACUGGGAUAACUUCGGGAAACCGGAGCUAAUACCGGAUAAUAUAUUGAACCGCAUGGUUCAAUAGUGAAAGACGGUUUUGCUGUCACUUAUAGAUGGAUCCGCGCCGCAUUAGCUAGUUGGUAAGGUAACGGCUUAGCAAGGCGACGAUGCGUAGCCGACCUGAGCGGGUGAUCGGCCACACUGGAACUGAGACACGGUCCAGACUCCUACGGGAGGCAGCAGUAGGGAAUCUUCCGCAAUGGGCGAAAGCCUGACGGAGCAACGCCGCGUGAGUGAUGAAGGUCUUCGGAUCGUAAAACUCUGUUAUUAGGGAAGAACAAAUGUGUAAGUAACUAUGCACGUCUUGACGGUACCUAAUCAGAAAGCCACGGCUAACUACGUG